Molecule: long non-coding RNA, 2101 nt
Organism: Oncorhynchus keta (chum salmon)
Lineage: Eukaryota; Metazoa; Chordata; Actinopteri; Salmoniformes; Salmonidae
Exons: 3
Source: RefSeq, a predicted model, not a curated record
UACAUACACACACACACACACACACACACACAUUCCCAUACAUACAUACAUACACAUACACACACACACACACACACACACACACAUUCCCAUACAUACACACACACACACACACACAUCCCCAUACAUCCACACACACACACACAUCCCACACACACACAUCCACACACACACAUCCCCAUACAUACACACACACACACAUCCACACACACACAUCCCCAUACAUACACACACACACACGCACCCACCCACCCACACACACACACACACACACACACACCUUUUACAUUUACACAGACCAGGACACUAACCCCGCACUGAUUUUAGAUAAGCAAACAAAACCGAGAUUAUACUGUUUAACUACUAUUUAAAUAUGAAUAGUCAACAAAGGACGAUUUACAUUGUUUGCACAUUCAUGCUCUCUGAUCCAGAACUAUAUCCGUCAUGUGUUUAAUCCACGCUCCACAAUAUAACCGUAUAUAAAUGGAACAGCUUGAGGUAUGAAACAGCAUUAUAAUGUCCAUACCAACGGCUUGAGGUAUGAAAUGGUAUUAUAGUGUCCAUACCAACGGCUUGAGGUAUGAAAUGGUAUUAUAGUGUCCAUACCAACGGCUUGAGGUAUGAAACAGCAUUAUAAUGUCCAUACCAACGGCUUGAGGUAUGAAAUGGUAUUAUAGUGUCCAUACCAACAGCUUGAGGUAUGAAAUGGUAUUAUAAUGUCCAUACCAACGGCUUGAGGUAUGAAAUGGUAUGAAAUGGUAUUAUAGUGUCCAUACCAACGGCUUGAGGUAUGAAAUGGUAUUAUAGUGUCCAUACCAACGGCUUGAGGUAUGAAAUGGUAUUAUAGUGUCCAUACCAACGGCUUGAGGUAUGAAAUGGUAUUAUAGUGUCCAUACCAACGGCUUGAGGUAUGAAAUGGUAUUAUAGUGUCCAUACCAACGGCUUGAGGUAUGAAACAGCAUUAUAAUGUCCAUACCAACGGCUUGAGGUAUGAAAUGGUAUUAUAGUGUCCAUACCAACGGCUUGAGGUAUGAAAUGGUAUUAUAGUGUCCAUACCAACGGCUUGAGGUAUGAAACAGCAUUAUAAUGUCCAUACCAACGGCUUGAGGUAUGAAAUGGUAUUAUAGUGUCCAUACCAACGGCUUGAGGUAUGAAAUGGUAUUAUAGUGUCCAUACCAACGGCUUGAGGUAUGAAACAGCAUUAUAAUGUCCAUACCAACGGCUUGAGGUAUGAAAUGGUAUUAUAGUGUCCAUACCAACAGCUUGAGGUAUGAAAUGGUAUUAUAAUGUCCAUACCAACGGCUUGAGGUAUGAAAUGGUAUUAUAGUGUCCAUACCAACGGCUUGAGGUAUGAAAUGGUAUUAUAGUGUCCAUACCAACGGCUUGAGGUAUGAAACAGCAUUAUAGUGUCCAUACCAACGGCUUGAGGUAUGAAAUGGUAUUAUAGUGUCCAUACCAACGGCUUGAGGUAUGAAAUGGUAUUAUAGUGUCCAUACCAACAGCUUGAGGUAUGAAAUGGUAUUAUAGUGUCCAUACCAACGGCUUGAGGUAUGAAAUGGUAUUAUAGUGUCCAUACCAACGGCUUGAGGUAUGAAACAGCAUUAUAAUGUCCAUACCAACGGCUUGAGGUAUGAAAUGGUAUUAUAGUGUCCAUACCAACGGCUUGAGGUAUGAAAUGGUAUUAUAGUGUCCAUACCAACGGCUUGAGGUAUGAAACAGCAUUAUAAUGUCCAUACCAACGGCUUGAGGUAUGAAAUGGUAUUAUAGUGUCCAUACCAACGGCUUGAGGUAUGAAAUGGUAUUAUAGUGUCCAUACCAACGGCUUGAGGUAUGAAACAGCAUUAUAAUGUCCAUACCAACGGCUUGAGGUAUGAAAUGGUAUUAUAGUGUCCAUACCAACGGCUUGAGGUAUGAAAUGGUAUUAUAGUGUCCAUACCAACGGCUUGAGGUAUGAAACAGCAUUAUAAUGUCCAUACCAACGGCUUGAGGUAUGAAAUGGUAUUAUAGUGUCCAUACCAACGGCUUGAGGUAUGAAAUGGUAUUAUAGUGUCCAUACCAACGGCUUGAGGUAUGAAACAGCAUUAUAAUGUCCAUACCAACG